GUGGGGGGAUUAGUGGCGAACGGGUGAGUAACACGUGAGUAACCUGCCCUUAACUCUGGGAUAAGCCUGGGAAACUGGGUCUAAUACCGGAUAUGACUCCUCAUCGCAUGGUGGGGGGUGGAAAGCUUUAUUGUGGUUUUGGAUGGACUCGCGGCCUAUCAGCUUGUUGGUGAGGUAAUGGCUCACCAAGGCGACGACGGGUAGCCGGCCUGAGAGGGUGACCGGCCACACUGGGACUGAGACACGGCCCAGACUCCUACGGGAGGCAGCAGUGGGGAAUAUUGCACAAUGGGCGAAAGCCUGAUGCAGCGACGCCGCGUGAGGGAUGACGGCCUUCGGGUUGUAAACCUCUUUCAGUAGGGAAGAAGCGAAAGUGACGGUACCUGCAGAAGAAGCGCCGGCUAACUACGUGCCAGCAGCCGCGGUAAUACGUAGGGCGCAAGCGUUAUCCGGAAUUAUUGGGCGUAAAGAGCUCGUAGGCGGUUUGUCGCGUCUGCCGUGAAAGUCCGGGGCUCAACUCCGGAUCUGCGGUGGGUACGGGCAGACUAGAGUGAUGUAGGGGAGACUGGAAUUCCUGGUGUAGCGGUGAAAUGCGCAGAUAUCAGGAGGAACACCGAUGGCGAAGGCAGGUCUCUGGGCAUUAACUGACGCUGAGGAGCGAAAGCAUGGGGAGCGAACAGGAUUAGAUACC
This 691-nucleotide ribosomal RNA is filed under the name Arthrobacter oryzae. RNAcentral describes it as "bacterial SSU rRNA". It matches the Rfam family "Bacterial small subunit ribosomal RNA", at positions 83 to 786 of the family's 1533-position model. Lineage: Bacteria; Bacillati; Actinomycetota; Actinomycetes; Micrococcales; Micrococcaceae. The record is from RNAcentral.